RNAcentral lists this ribosomal RNA (402 nucleotides) under uncultured bacterium. Its description in RNAcentral is "bacterial SSU rRNA". It matches the Rfam family "Bacterial small subunit ribosomal RNA", at positions 355 to 774 of the family's 1533-position model. The record is from RNAcentral.
UGGGGAAUCUUGCACAAUGGGGGCAACCCUGAUGCAGCGACGCCGCGUGAGCGAUGAAGCCCUUCGGGGCGUAAAGCUCUUUCGACCGGAACGAUAAUGACGGUACCGGGAGAAGAAGCUGCGGCUAACUACGUGCCAGCAGCCGCGGUAAUACGUAGGCAGCAAGCGUUGUUCGGAGUUACUGGGCGUAAAGCGUGCGUAGGCGGUUUUCUAAGUUCGGUGUAAAAUCUCCCGGCUUAACUGGGAGGGUGCUCCGAAGACUGGGAAGCUGGAGUGUGGGAAAGGCAGGCGGAAUUCCUGGUGUAGCGGUGAAAUGCGUAGAUAUCAGGAGGAACACCGGCGGUGUAGACGGCUUGCUAGACCAUAACUGACGCUGAGGCACGAAAGCGUGGGUAGCAAACA